Bombus pascuorum is the source of this 1389-nucleotide long non-coding RNA. RefSeq lists it as uncharacterized. The record is from RefSeq and is a predicted model, not a curated record. NCBI's taxonomy places the organism in Eukaryota, Metazoa, Arthropoda, Insecta, Hymenoptera, Apidae. The transcript is spliced from 3 exons.
UACGGUUUCCAUUUAAUCUUUUUUCUUUUUCUUCUUCCGUAAACGUCCACCGGCGCACGAAUCGAGUCGUACCGGUUCACGGUGGACGCGAUAAAAGCUCUUUUUAAACAUGAAUCAACAAUGGUGAUCGAAUCUUGACGACGCAACGUUGCGUUCUUACCGGUCCAUCGGUAGCGGAGUAGGUCGUCUCGCGUGGACCUGCACUCGUGAGAUUCUCGUUGCAAACCUGUUCACCUUCGUCCUCGCCCUCGGAUCGAACACAUCCGUGGCUCGUCUUUCGCAUCUUCCGCUUAACUGAGUCCUGAGAAUUUGUCGAACGUUAGUCAGAUCAUAAAGAAAGACAGAAAGAAUCGACGAAAGAACAUUACUUACAUACCCUUCGUGUCUGAUUCUUCAUCUGAAAUUCUUUCAUGCGAGCAGAAUUAAUUUUCCCCUAAUUAUUGUAACUUUCAAGAAAUUUCUGAGAAUUCAUCGUGUAUAUUGAUAUGUAUCAUUAUGCAAUCAGGUUGCUACGUCAUCAUUUCAUAACUAAAACGCUUAAUUAUCGGGAAAAUUUCAAGUUGGAGUUUCUAGUCAGCGAUUUCGAAUUACUGUUCUGUUAAUUAAGAGCGGAACUCGUUUCGCACGGAAUUCCAAGAUUCGAGAAUAUCGACCAGAGAUGUACCGUGGUCUGUCGAUCAUCCUGAGAAUCAUUUGAAAUUCCGUUGAAUUAACCGGAAGCUUAACAAUUUUCGAUCGGAAGCGAACGCUGUCUGUCUACGAUCGAUUUGCGGUUCGGUCGCUCUUCUUUGGUUUAACGUCGACUUCGAUUUUCCACGCUGACUGUUCCAUCAUAUCGCGGACAUCAGAAAUUUAGUACGAGAAAUCCCAUUAACUUCGUAGAAAAUAGUCGAGAAUUGAUGAAAACAAUCGGGAAACACUGGAAAUACUGGUUUUCCCGUGUAUCAAAAAAGUCACAAGAGCGCGAGCCUUGAACCUCGAAGAAGCGUUAAAAAUGUAAAAUCUGUCGCGACGUGGAAACCUAGGUAUCCUCGAUAAAGUCGCUAAGAAUUUCUGCGAAAUCUAUAGAAUAGAAUGAUCGAAUAUCUUUUCUUUUUAGUUGCAAAACAUACAAGGAUCUUAGUGGAAAAGUGAUACGAGUUCACUCUUUUCUGAAAAUAGUAAAAGAACGUACAGCUUGCGAUAGACGUUCAGUUGAGCCACGGAGGUUGUACCUUGAAUGUCGACCGUACGUGAAACCGGUCACGUAGAGAAAUUCCAGAAACUUGGUAAAACUUUUGGUACGUAGAUGGUACGUUGUACUCCGGAUUCGAUCACCGAACUUUGUCGUAAUCAUUUCCUUUUUGGAUACGUUCGCCAAUUUUGUUUCUUUUCUUCUCUCUGUUUCCU